Long non-coding RNA from Camelus dromedarius (Arabian camel), 3538 nucleotides. RefSeq lists it as uncharacterized. The transcript has 3 exons. The record is from RefSeq and is a predicted model, not a curated record. NCBI's taxonomy places the organism in Eukaryota, Metazoa, Chordata, Mammalia, Artiodactyla, Camelidae.
GGAGCGCGUGGCCGCGUGUCCAACCCACGGGACUUCCUUGGCGCGCGCCGCGAGUCACACCUACCCCAGGGCCUGGCGCACCCACUCGCCGUGGACUGAAGGGCGGAGGUCAGGGCUGGGCAGAAGCCCAGCCCGGCGCAGUCCAUCCAGCGGUGGGAGCGUGCGCGGAGCCCAGCCACGGAGAACCCUGCUCCAGCCCGUGGCACCCUCCCCGCCUCCAGCGCAGACCCGCAAAGGGCUGUGUCCAGGCCAGACCAGAGCAGGACCCGUGGAGGACAUGGGGAUCCCCCCGACAGCACGGCCCCAGGCACACCCUUCCCUGGGGUGUCUCAGGAGCAGACGUGCGGGUGAGAGAACAAGACCCUGGGUGAGCCUGACCUGGGACUCUUGGAACAGUGCUCAGUGCCACGCCUUGCCAGUGGGGCUCAGCUGUCCCGGGGUCCGGCGCCAGUUACCAUGGCCCCCGUGUCAGGGUGUGGAGUGGUCGCCGAGGGAGGGUGAGCGUGGCUGGGACAGCCUGACCUGGGCAUCUCCGUGGCUGUCCAAGGUCAUGGACUUCUGGAAGCUCGGACCCAGUGCUCCAGCCCCCAACAUGUGGCCAGACUGGUGGCCAGUGUGUGCUUGGUCACUCCCAGAAGGGGGAUUCAUUACCGCUUACAGCUGCCUGGUCCCGUUUGGCGCCCGGUUGUUAGAGGCGACACUUAUUCUCAAACUGGGGUUCAGUGGGCACACCCUGUGCGAUGUGGGGCCUCUGACACUGGCACUUCACCUGCAGCCGUGACGCACAGCAGAGUCCCAGACGCUGAGCUGCGGAAGGUGACCUGAGGGCCAAGGAGGGACACACUGUGUGUGCAUGUGCGUCAGCGUGCGUGCAGGCCUGCACCCUGGUGUGCACGCACACACGUGUGUGUCCACGCACGUCUGUGUGUGUGAGGUCACAGGAGCUAUUCCUGAGUGACACAGAAGUGAGGCUUCAGCGGGUGAGCCCAGGGCCUGGAGGGGAGGAUGUGCUCCGAACCCCGCGGCGCCCUCUCCAAGCCUCUUACCCGUCCUCACGUGGAGCCGGGCCCUCCCUCGUUCCCAGCAGGUGGGAACUGCUGACAGGCAGCAAGGCCGGCUGCCUGUCACCAUGGGAUACCUGACGGUCCCACGUCGCCACCUGCCCUCCCUGGAGCUUGGGCUCCUCGGGGGGUCAGGUCCGUGCUUCUCCCUGCCGGCCAAGGCCCCCGAGGCUGCAGGGGCCGGGGCAGACCUUCAGAGUCGUCUUGGGUUGUGGCGAGGGUCCACGGCUUUCCUCCCUCGUGUCAGUUGUCUCUGGGUGCAGGAUGCCCUGAGGAGAGGGUGUGAUUUGGGGUGAGGCUGUCAGUUCAAGACUGACCACAGCCCUUCAAAUCCACGCACCAAAUGUGCUAAGAGUUUCUAGCAAAACACCGCGUGGGUGCUGAUUGCUCCCCAGCUGCCUGCUCCUGUGCUCGCCCCCGCCCCAGUGCCUCCCGAGGUCCCAGGGGGCAGACUCCACCCGAGAGACGUGCGUCCACGUGGGUCUCCAGGCUCCUGCCUCCUCUGCCCUUCGCUCAGGAGAAGCCCAGCCUCAGCGCCCCGCUGCCCGCACCUCAGCCGUGAGGGCCUCCUUCCCACCCCAGUCGCUGGCCCUUUGCCUCAGGCUUGGGGUGGGGGAGGCCGGACGCAGUCUUUCCUCUCACCCCGCGAAGCCCAUCCCGCCCUGCGGGCUCCCUCUUCUCCUUCGGGCCUGUCAGCUCCUGGUGCCUCGAGGUGAGUGAGUGAAGGCUCCUUCCCCCGAGCGGGCAGGGCUGGGGGCACCCUGGUGUCUCAUGGAAGGAGGUGCCAGGCCUGGUGUCUGCACCGUGGGAGGGGUGCCCGGGGCCCUGACCCCAGCUGUGUCAGCGAGUAGGAAGCAUGAGUGGGCCGUGGGCCACGUCAGCAGGCUUCAGAAUCUCUUUCUUCACCUGUGAAACAGGAGCCGGGACUUCGGCCCACCCCCCAGGGUGCAUGAGCCUGAAAGAGGGGCCCCAAGAGCUUGGGUCAGUGGCUCUGCAAGACCCAGAUUGACAACUGUGGCCCGUUCUCGGGAGUCCUGGGGCUAGUGGAGGGAGCUGGUCGGCCUGGGGGAGGCGCUCUUUGCUCCAGGCAUCCUGCCUCCAGGAGAGCUGCCCGCCUGUCCUCUUCCCAACGGUGAAGGUCACAGGUCCCCGGGGACACAGAGGCGCCUUCUGGGCAGCAUGCUGUGUGCGGACUCCCCCUGCUGCUGUGUGACUUGGGAGGAGAGGGCGUGUGGCCCUCACUCAGGGCCACCCAGGUGUCGGGGCCUGGGCCUUGUGGGCGUGAGGGCCUUCUGGCUUUGUGCUGCGAAGAUGCGCUAUGGAGGAUGGUCUGUCCUCGCACGUGUCUGGUGAGAGGGAGACCUUGGCUCCAGGAGCGGCAGCCUGGAGCUAGUGGCCCGUGACCUGAGCUGUGGAGUGGGGAGCGCCGACCAGCAGUGGUGCCGGCCUCCCGUUCCCACUGGGACAGCCCCACCCACAGGGGCUCAACCUUGGGCUCCAGCUGCAGUUUCAUCCAAACUGAAAGCAGCUUCCUGCUGGUUCAGCCAGAGGCAUCCCCACCUGACGCGGUGGGGUCUGCCCAGACCCAGCUCCCCUGUGGACAACCCCUGCACCGGGUUCACUCUGAUGGCCGCCACCUGGGUCAUCUGUCCUGGACCCCUGGUCACCGAGCGGCGUGUGCCCGUGUGCCAGGGUGGAAGGGACGAGAUGGAGAACAUGCAUGGAUGCUGCCUGUGGCUCUGGCCUCUGUGGCCACACUGAGCUGCCUGGAGGGGCCGAGCUUGGCAGGCACCCUCGCGCAGAGGCAGGGACUUGCCACAGCCUGUUCCUGUGUCAGACAACGUAAAGGUGCACCUGGCUCCUCCCACUCCCUCCUGGGGCCCCGCUGUGGUGAUGUGAUGGCUGCCAGGGCCCCACAGGGUGAGGACAGUCACUGGAGCAUCACCUCCCCGAGGGCACUGGUGAGGUCAGGACCUGCCCGGACAGCCCUGGAGCCUCCUCCAGGGCAGCAAGGGCCACGAGGGCAUGUGGUAACAGUGCUGUCCUUUCCCAAGGUGGUGGGCAGGUGGCAGGCGGCCCUCGGGGUGGACAGGCGUGGCUGGCAGCCCCGCUCUGAGGGCUCAAGGCCCAGGUUGAACCCCUGCAGGUGGGGCUGUCCCAGUGGGAACGGGAGUGGGGGUGGGAUGCAGCCUGAGUGACAGCCCAGAACCACAGCCGCUGCGUGUCCCAGACCUACGUGCUGCUGGCUCCGGGGGAAGAAGGGACAGGUCCUGGACAACGGGAGGUGUGGGAAGGUACCCUGCCUGCCGGCCUCAGGCGGACCCCGUCUCCAGACAAGGAAGGAGACAGAAAUAACUUAUGCCAUGAACGAAACGGGAGCACUGACGAGCGUUUUCUGGCCCGACCCGCCGCUGCCCAGGCCGCUGCGCCCCGCCACCACGGAGGCGGGCCUGCCGAGGGAGGGGGACACGUGGUCC